GGUAGCAUAGAUCAAAUGGUAGAGCAAUUGCCUUGCAAGCAUGAGGCUCUGAGUUCAAACUCCAGUACUGCUG
RNAcentral lists this transfer RNA (73 nucleotides) under Dipodomys ordii (Ord's kangaroo rat). It matches the Rfam family "tRNA". From Rfam's summary of the family: Transfer RNA (tRNA) molecules are approximately 80 nucleotides in length. Lineage: Eukaryota; Metazoa; Chordata; Mammalia; Rodentia; Heteromyidae. The record is from Rfam by way of RNAcentral.